This is a long non-coding RNA of Parus major (Great Tit), 2354 nucleotides long. RefSeq lists it as uncharacterized. The record is from RefSeq and is a predicted model, not a curated record. The transcript is spliced from 3 exons. Lineage: Eukaryota; Metazoa; Chordata; Aves; Passeriformes; Paridae.
UGUAGUGCGCGGGGAGGUGGGGGUGGCGCCCCGGGGCGCCCCCCGGUGGUGGGGCGGGAUUGGGGCCGGGAAAGCCCCGAGCCCAGGGACGGCACCGACCCCCGGGGAGAAUCGAACCCCUGAGGGGGCUGAGCGUGGACGCGGGAGCGCGGCCAGAGGGUUAUUUUAGUGCUGGCAUCGCUCAUCGCUCCACGGCCCUCCCCACCCACGGGACAACGCCGUGCAGGAAGUGCCCGGGAAUAGCACUGCGGCCCGAGGAGGAGGAGGAGGGGGAGGAAGGCCCAGCGAGCGCAUGGAAAACCUACCUCGGAGCAGGUGACACCAAUGGCACCUGGCUGCUGGGACAUCGGGGCACGGGCUCCCCGUCCUCCCCGGGGAGAAACCCCCCCUGGAAGCAGCCGUGUCCAAGGAAUCGGCCGAAUUCCCAUGUGGAGCGCUUCCUCUGCCAAUUAACUUCUCUCUCAGGGGAGGAAAUGAUACGAGUUUCUUUUAAUAGGACUUUGAUCUCUUGGGCUCCACACAGAAGUGCUCCUGGCGCUGGGAUCUCCAGCGGUGUGGGAAAGGGCACACCGCAUUUAUCGGGCAAACACCUUUUUUACCUCUGCCAGCCCACACGGGGUGAGCAACGUUAAUAAUAAACUGUAGGCUUGGUCUCUGUAGCUGGUUUGGGGAGGCAAAUCACUUUUUAAAUUCCUGUUUAUACUGAUUUAAUAUCUACUGCAGGCAGGCUUGUCCUGAGGUGAUUUAGUAGUUUAUUUCCAGGCAUUUGCAGGAAUAAGUCACAGGAUAUCAAUACCUUCUUAUUCAUCUAACCAGCCUCCAUGGGAAGCUGGAGCACUGGAAUUAUGCAGCUCCUGGUCAGGUAGGGCUUUUCCUCAGUCAGUGCAGGUGUUUCAGUGAGUAUUUCCACACACUGUCAGUCAUGAACCUGCUGGAAAAUCCACUCACUUAUUGAGGAAUCACACUGAAAACACCACCAGCCUGCACUUUGUCCAAAGGGACUUGGAUGCCACAGGCUCCAAUCCCUCCUAGCUGAUGUUUACAACCUGGUGCUGACGCUGUUUCAUCUUCCAGGGCACACGCCCUGCCAAGUGAUGGGGAAACACUGAGGACACUCCAGCAUUUAUUCCCACCUUUGCUAACCUGGGUUGGUUUGCCCUCCUCAGCUUCUGUCCCUCACCCUGCUCCACCCCAGGUGACACCAGGCUUAUCUCCAGGGUUUUGGAGAGGAAAAAAACUAAAGUAUCUCCAAAAUGAGAAGUCCAAGUAGCCAUUGCUAUGAAAACUGGAGAAGGAAAUAAUUAAGGAGACUCUGAACUCCUGGUAACAAAGUUUCACCUGGCCUCCUGGCAUUAGUGACAGUGCAGUGCGCUCUCAAAAGUGUAAAUUAAAUGUAUUUAAUUCUGUUACCACCAGAACCAGUUCCCUGUUUUUCCUGAGUGAACAACUCAGAUGAAAGGAGAAUUCUUCCCUUUCCACCUUCCAAAACAACACAAAGAGGAAAAAAUGAUCCUGAAAAUGAGGAGCAGAGGCAGGGGAGAAGGAGUCCCUCAGGCAGCAACAGCCUCAGCACACGUGAUGGCCCUGUCACACCACGGUGCCACAUUUGCUUGAGUGGCCAGGUGGACAUAGGAGCAGGAUGUGCUCCCAACACAUUCCCGACGUGCCAAGCUCCAUCCUGGCUCUUCCCACAAGGCCAGUGCUGACCCCAGAGGCCGAGGAUGCAGAGCCUCAUGCAGAGAGUGGGUGAUUCCAGCUGUGCUCCACUUUGGGAAGCUCACGGAAGCCUUUGGGAGCGUCUGUUUGUGUUCCCUGCAUAUCCUACGUGCUACAACUCCAGGGCAUUUGGGACCUGUUCUUCUUGAUCCUGGGAGCCUUCCCGUGGGGGCAGGGACCUGCCUCCACAGUCUGUGCAAAUACAGUAAAAUAGCAAUAUAAAUCAAGGUAUAAAUUAAGGCAGCAGUUUUCCCCAAAAGACAAGUUUUUUAUUGAAUUGUUAUUUAUCUUAGGAAGACAAAUGCCAAGACGGUAACAACAGGGAGUAUGGAUUCUGGAUUUCUAGUUGCGGUGAAAGUUUGUGAUUCCCUUUGGGGAUGAAGGUGCCCCACAGAGUCAGUGUGAUUUGGGGGAUGGCAGGGUACGAGGAGCUGAGCCCCAGCUCCUGAAUGUUCCCUUCUCAGGGCCAAAGGUCAGGCUCUCACUUGGGGCAGUCACAUCCCCGCGCUGCCCACUGCGAAUCCAAGUCCCGUGACAACCCUUCCUUGGCAGUUGGAAUGAUAAAUCCGGGCAAGAAGUGCCGGAGGCGCUGCCACGCUUCCCUUCCCUUGCCAGGGCCUCUGCUCGCCCCCACGGAC